AAGCCAGUCGAAGAUACCAGCUGGCUGCAACUGUUUAUUAAAAACACAGCACUGUGCAAACACGAAAGUGGACGUAUACGGUGUGACGCCUGCCCGGUGCUGGAAGGUUAAUUGAUGGGGUUAGCGUAAGCGAAGCUCCUGAUCGAAGCCCCAGUAAACGGCGGCCGUAACUAUAACGGUCCUAAGGUAGCGAAAUUCCUUGUCGGGUAAGUUCCGACCUGCACGAAUGGCGUAAUGAUGGCCAGGCUGUCUCCACCCGAGACUCAGUGAAAUUGAACUCGCUGUGAAGAUGCAGUGUACCCGCGGCAAGACGGAAAGACCCCGUGAACCUUUACUAUAGCUUGACACUGAACAUUGAGCCUUGAUGUGUAGGAUAGGUGGGAGGCUUUGAAGUGUGGACGCCAGUCUGCAUGGAGCCAACCUUGAAAUACCACCCUUUAACGUUUGAUGUUCUAACCUAGGCCCAUAAACUGGGUCGGGGACCGUGUCUGGUGGGUAGUUUGACUGGGGCGGUCUCCUCCUAAAGAGUAACGGAGGAGCACGAAGGUUGGCUAAGCAUGGUCGGACAUCAUGCGGUUAGUGCAAAGGCAUAAGCCAGCUUGACUGCGAGAGUGACGGCUCGAGCAGGUACGAAAGUAGGUCUUAGUGAUCCGGUGGUUCUGAAUGGAAGGGCCAUCGCUCAACGGAUAAAAGGUACUCCGGGGAUAACAGGCUGAUACCGCCCAAGAGUUCAUAUCGACGGCGGUGUUUGGCACCUCGAUGUCGGCUCAUCACAUCCUGGGGCUGAAGUAGGUCCCAAGGGUAUGGCUGUUCGCCAUUUAAAGUGGUACGCGAGCUGGGUUUAGAACGUCGUGAGACAGUUCGGUCCCUAUCUGCCGUGGGCGUUGGAAGAUUGAGAGGGGUUGCUCCUAGUACGAGAGGACCGGAGUGAACGCACCACUGGUGUUCGGGUUGUCAUGCCAAUGGCAUUGCCCGGUAGCUAAGUGCGGAAGAGAUAACCGCUGAAAGCAUCUAAGCGGGAAACUUGCCUCGAGAUGAGUCUUCCCUGUCGCUUUAAGCGACCUAAAGGAACGUUUAAGACUAAGACGUUGAUAGGCUGGGUGUGUAAGCGUAGCGAUACGUUGAGCUAACCAGUACUAAUGAAC
RNAcentral lists this ribosomal RNA (1145 nucleotides) under Proteus mirabilis. RNAcentral describes it as "partial 23S ribosomal RNA". It matches the Rfam family "Bacterial large subunit ribosomal RNA", at positions 1770 to 2909 of the family's 2925-position model. Lineage: Bacteria; Pseudomonadati; Pseudomonadota; Gammaproteobacteria; Enterobacterales; Morganellaceae. The record is from RNAcentral.